CUCUGCACACAGAGUCGCCAUGCCCAGAGUGUCUGACCAGUGGAUCCAUUCACCUGUGGUGGCCAAAGUCAUCAACAGCCUGUGCUUCUUGCUUACCCAGGAGAUUUUUAACUGCUCAGUUCUAAGCUCUCCCAACAGCUUCCUGCACCUGCAACUCUAAAUACACCCUCCUUUCCAGAUCUUCAUUGCUGUUCUCUCUGCCUGAAGAAUUGGAAGUUGUCUCAGACAGUCUCUCCCAGCCCUCGUGUUGGUGCUGUCAGGAUCAGACCUCCCCUGCCGGCUACAGAGGAUGAUGACAAUUUAUGCAGCUGCUGAAGCACAGGCAAUUUCUCAAACUCCUUAACACACCUGGGACCAUCAGCUCAGGCAGAGGAGAUUUCAGAAGACUUCUCCUUUACAGCUCUCUAAGCCAUAAAAGGACCAGCAUGAGAUAUUCUGAGGUCCUUCUGUCUCACAGACAGCAGGUAAAACUGGCCAAGGAUACUAUACUAACAGGCGGCAACAAGGCAAAUGGCAGGACCAUGACUCUGGAUUUCAGGAGAGCACGCUUUAACAUCUUUAAGGUGCUGCUUGGAAGAAUCCCAUGGGUAGCAGUUCUGAGUAGAAGAUGGAUGCACAAGAGCUGGAUGUUUUUCAAGAGUCACCUCUUCCAGACUUAAGAAUGGUCCAUCGUUGUGUGCAGGAAAUCAAUCAAAAGUGACACAAGUCCACAAGGUAGUCCCAAUUAAAAUCCAACAUAAAAAAAGAGGUGUUUAAGAAAGAAGCAGGGAGAGGGGACAGGUGACCAGGAGGAAAACAGAGCCGCUGAGCAUCCAGGCAUAGGUAUAGGAAAGCCAGAACAGAGCAAACAAAGUAUGUCAAGGGACAUGAAGAGCAGCAAGAAAUGCAAGCAAAUCGAUGUCAAAAUGAAGCCUAUAGAAUGUGGCUCUGCUGUUGAACACAGCAGGAAACCUGGUGACAAAGGAUUAGGAGAAGGCAUUCAAUGAUUUCUUUACCUUGUUUUUUACUGCUAAGAUUUGCCCUCAGGAAUCACAGCCCAUGAGACCAGUGUGGAGGUUUGGAACAAUGAAAACUAGACAAGUAACAAGAUAGAGAACAGUUAAACAAAGUGAACACAUAAAAGUCCAGUGGAUCUGAUGGAAAAUAAGAAGUAAUCGCAUGAAAAAUGCUGAGGGAGCUUGGUAAUGUCACUGUAAGACCACUCAUAUCUAUCUUCAAAAGAUCAUGGUAAUUGGAGGAAGUUCCUGCAGAUUGGAGGAAAUUAAAUAUCGCUCUAUUCUUCAAGAGAGGAGUAUCCAGGGAGAAAGAGACUUGUCAGCUUUCCUUUGAUCUCUAGGAAGGUUAUAGAGCAAGUUCUUCUGGAAAACAUUUCCAAACUUAUUAAGGACUAGGUGAUUGGCAGUAGUCACUGUGGAUUUACAAGCAGCCAGCUGUGCCUGAUAAACCUGAGAGCCUUUUCUGCUGAAACAAGUGACUGAAAGGACAAAGGGGAGACCACUGCAUGGGUGUUGGUCCUUUUGACUUUAGUGCUAUCUCCAAGAACAUCCUCACAGACAAACCUCUGAAGUGUAGACUAGACAAAUGGACAUCAAGAUAUAUUGAUAACAGGCUGAAUUGCUGGAAUCAGAGGAUUGUGAUCAGUAGUGAUCACCCCAGCUGGAGCUCAGUCAUUAGUUGUGUACCCCAGGGGUCUGACACUGUUUAACAGCUUCGUUAUUACCUGGAUUACGAGACACGCUGUAAUCGAGUAUGCUGUUGAAGAAAACUGGAAGGAAUAGCAGAUACAACACUCUACACAAGGAGAAACUAAGGCAGCUGGGACUGUUCAGUCUGAAGAUGGGAAGGCUGAGUAGGAUCUUAUCAUGUGUAUAAAUUCCUGGUUGGGGAAUUGAGGGAAAGAAGACAGAGCCAGACUCUUCUCAGCAGCUCAAGGACAGGACAAGAAGCAAUGAGCACACACUGAAACACAGAAAAAUGUGUAUGAAGAUCAGGAAACACUUUUCUUACUGUGAAAAUGGUUGACCACUGGCACAAGUUUCCCAGAGAAGUUGUGGGUUGCCUAUCCUUGGAGAUAUUCGAAGACCAGCUGGACACAGACCUGAGCAACCUGCUCUAGCUGAUGGUGCUUUAAGCAGGAGGGUUCGGCGACUUCCAAGGGUCCCUUCUAGUCUCAACUACUCUGUCUUGCUGUGACACAAAUAAGUGAACCUGCUUUCCUUAGAUUUCCUCCUGAUUAUGGAAAUCACAUAAAAGAUGUAACAACAACAGGCUCAGUCAUUUCCUCUACCACAUAGUGGGUUUAUUACAGUUUUAAUACAAAGACUUCCCGAGAUUAAGUCAUUAAUGAAACAUGCUGAUGAACUGCCAUGCUAAUGAGUUGAAGGUAUCAUUGACACAAGUCAGGUAUAUUAACAUUGAAUAGGACAAGUAUCUCUUGAAUAUAGGAAUGUAGAGGUCACAUUCAUUUCUUAACUCUGAGGAGGAGAGGCUUGAAGGCCAAUAUCCCACACAGAGCAUAUAAUCAAUAUAUGCUACAGUUCUCCUGUCAGACAGAAGACAGUAAGAGUUUGAAGAGCCAGUUAGAGGACUGCCUUCUCAAAAAGAAUGUGUAAACUUCUCUUGGCCCUAGGGAGUUUCCUUUUUAUAAAUAUGGUGAUAGCAUUUCAGUAUCUUUUAUGAUACCUUGUCUUGUUUCUUUUCCAGCAGAACUGGGUUUAUUUUGGAAAGCACCUCUUUGCCACAAUGACUGUGUGCACACAAUAUAAAAAACAGUCUACAAAUACAAGAAACUGGGCCCAAGCAGAUCAAAAAGGGUGUUUUUCCAUAGAUAUUGAGGUACCCCUUGGAGCCUGGCUCUAGAAGGAUGAAAGUGCCUAUCCUACCCCCUUCCAUUUUUAGAAAAACUAGUCCCUGAAGAGCAUAAGCCUAUUCCAGCUCUUCAGUGUGUUUAAAUGAACACUGUAUGGGAACAUUAAUAGCAGGAUCCCCCAGGAGUUGCCUGUUUACACCACAACGCUUCAUAUUAGUCAGCCUACCAACAAUGCAUUCAUUGUGUUUCACAUAAGCCUGCAGUGUUCUUCAAUGCACAGAGAAAUAAACACAAUACAGGCAUUGCCAUCAUGUUUUUUACUACUUUUAACAUUGAUACAUUAAAGGCAUUUUCCAGGAGGACUUACCAGACA
Long non-coding RNA from Taeniopygia guttata (zebra finch), 3182 nucleotides. RefSeq lists it as uncharacterized. The record is from RefSeq and is a predicted model, not a curated record. NCBI's taxonomy places the organism in Eukaryota, Metazoa, Chordata, Aves, Passeriformes, Estrildidae.